Molecule: transfer RNA, 61 nt
Filed under: Alectorobius mimon
Lineage: Eukaryota; Metazoa; Arthropoda; Arachnida; Ixodida; Argasidae
Description: tRNA-Trp
Source: RNAcentral
AAGACUUUAAGUUAAAAAAACUGUAUGCCUUCAAAGCAUAAAUUAAUAAAAUUAAGUCUUA